GACGAACGCUGGCGGCGUGCCUAAUACAUGCAAGUCGAGCGAACAGAGAAAGUGCUUGCACUUUCAAAGUUAGCGGCGGACGGGUGAGUAACACGUAAGGAACCUACCGAUAAGCGGGGGACAACAUCCGGAAACGGGUGCUAAUACCGCAUAGGAAGUUUGUUCGCAUGAACAAACUUAGAAAGAUGGCUCUGCUAUCACUUAUCGAUGGCCUUGCGGUGCAUUAACUAGUUGGCGAGGUAACGGCUCACCAAGGUGAUGAUGCAUAGCCGACCUGAGAGGGUAAUCGGCCGCAUUGGGACUGAGACACGGCCCAAACUCCUACGGGAGGCAGCAGUAGGGAAUCUUCCGCAAUGGACGCAAGUCUGACGGAGCAACGCCGCGUGAGUGAAGAAGGUUUUCGGAUCGUAAAACUCUGUUGUAAGAGAAGAACAAAUUGUAGAGUAACUGCUACAGUCUUGAC
This 463-nucleotide ribosomal RNA is filed under the name Aerococcus christensenii. RNAcentral describes it as "bacterial SSU rRNA". It matches the Rfam family "Bacterial small subunit ribosomal RNA", at positions 28 to 473 of the family's 1533-position model. The record is from RNAcentral. Lineage: Bacteria; Bacillati; Bacillota; Bacilli; Lactobacillales; Aerococcaceae.